RNAcentral lists this ribosomal RNA (433 nucleotides) under uncultured bacterium. Its description in RNAcentral is "partial 16S ribosomal RNA". It matches the Rfam family "Bacterial small subunit ribosomal RNA", at positions 29 to 507 of the family's 1533-position model. The record is from RNAcentral.
AACGAACGCUGGCGGCAUGCCUAACACAUGCAAGUCGAACGAGACCUUCGGGUCUAGUGGCGCACGGGUGCGUAACGCGUGGGAACCUACCCUUAGGUUCGGAAUAACUCCCCGAAAGGGGUGCUAAUACCGGAUAAUGUCUUCGGACCAAAGAUUUAUCGCCUUUGGAUGGGCCCGCGUUGGAUUAGCUAGUUGGUAGGGUAAAAGCCUACCAAGGCGACGAUCCAUAGCUGGUCUGAGAGGAUGAUCAGCCACACUGGGACUGAGACACGGCCCAGACUCCUACGGGAGGCAGCAGUGGGGAAUAUUGGAAAAUGGGCGAAAGCCUGAUCCAGCAAUGCCGCGUGAGUGAUGAAGGCCUUAGGGUUGUAAAGCUCUUUUACACGGGAUGAUAAUGACAGUACCGGGAGAAUAAGCUCCGGCUAACUCCGUG